UAACAAGGUCUCCGUAGGUGAACCUGCGGAGGGAUCAUUACAAGUGACCCCGGUCUAACCACCGGGAUGUUCAUAACCCUUUGUUGUCCGACUCUGUUGCCUCCGGGGCGACCCUGCCUUCGGGCGGGGGCUCCGGGUGGACACUUCAAACUCUUGCGUAACUUUGCAGUCUGAGUAAACUUAAUUAAUAAAUUAAAACUUUUAACACCGGAUCUCUUGGUUCUGGCAUCGAUGAAGAACGCAGCGAAAUGCGAUAAGUAAUGUGAAUUGCAGAAUUCAGUGAAUCAUCGAAUCUUUGAACGCACAUUGCGCCCCCUGGUAUUCCGGGGGGCAUGCCUGUUCGAGCGUCAUUUCACCACUCAAGCCUCGCUUGGUAUUGGGCAACGCGGUCCGCCGCUUGCCUCAAAUCGACCGGUUGGGUCUUCUGUCCCCUAAGCGUUGUGGAAACUAUUCGCUAAAGGGUGUUCGGGAGGCUACGCCGUAAAACAACCCCAUUUCUAAGGUUGACCUCGGAUCAGGUAGGGAUACCCGCUGAACUUAAGCAUA
Molecule: ribosomal RNA, 546 nt
Filed under: Cladosporium cladosporioides
Lineage: Eukaryota; Fungi; Ascomycota; Dothideomycetes; Cladosporiales; Cladosporiaceae
Description: eukaryotic LSU rRNA
Rfam family: 5.8S ribosomal RNA (bases 197-350)
Source: RNAcentral